UGUGUCCAGUCCUGGUCCUGGAGGGGUCAGUCAGUGUGUGUCCAGUCCUGGUCCUGGAGGGGUCAGUCAGUGGUCAGGCUGAAGAGGUGGGGGGAUAACAUGAGAAUGAGAAAAGGGAGGAGUUUGGAGCAUAUUUACAGUUUUUAUUUUUCUCCCUGUACUAACCCUAAAAAUUAAAAGAAUUCAAGUGAAGGAGAACAACAGACUUUACAACAGAUUUAACCGGCUUUCAAGAACAAAGACUCACAGUCAAAACCUCUCUCGCGGUGGUUAACACGCAAAGGAACUACAAUACCCAUCAUUCAUUUCCCACGCAGCAAGCACGCAAAUAAUUGUUUUGCGUGCCACAAGUCCUUGUGGGAGAUGUAGUUUUUGUUUCUCCUCUACAUGAGCUGAAGAAGCUCCCUGCAGUGUCUUGUGGGAGAUGUAGUUUUUGUUUUUCCCUCUAUACAUGGACUUGGGACGUUUCCAGCAGAGGCUCAUGGAAGAUGUAGUUUUUUGUUUCUCCCCUACAUGGGCUGAGGAAGCGCCCUGCAGUGGAUUGUGGGAGAUGUAGUUUUUAUUUUUCCCUCCAUACAUGGGGUGAGGUAGCUCCCCACAGUGGCUUGUGGGAGGCGUAGUUUUUGUUUCUCCUCUACAUGGGCUGAGGGAGCUCCCCGCAGUGGCUUGUGGGAGGCGUAGUUUUUGUUUCUCCUCUACAUGGGCUGAGGGAGCUCCCCGCUGUGGCUUGUGGGAGGCGUAGUUUUUCAGUGCAGGAUGUCCAUGAGAAAGGCAGCUGAACCUUUCAGCCAAUUGAAGGAAAUGCUGUCCGCAGUCACUGCCUCCUGCUCGCCCAACUCAGCACCAUCAUCAUCCAUCCCAAGUCUGUCCUGUCCCACUGUACUGAACACUGUCCCCACUCCCCCACUGUACUGAACACUGUCCCAUCUCUCUCACCUUGUACUGAACACUGUGCCCUCUCACUGAACAAUGUCCCCUCUCUCUCACCUUGUACUGAACACCGUCCCCUCUCUGUAUUGAACACUUUCCUCUCCCCCACUGUACGGAACGCUGUCCCCUCUCACUGUACUGAACACUAUGCUCAUUCUCCUCCAGAUUUCUUUAUUUCUACACAUAAAUACACAAAAGUGAACUACACAACACACUCACCGACACCCUCUCACACUCAACACUCACACACACUGACUCACUCUCUCAUACUCACUGACACACUCAAUCACUCCCUCACACUCAUUGACACACUCUCACACUCACUGACACACUCAAUCACUCUCUCACACUCACUGACACACUCUCUCACACACACUGACUCUCACUCUCUCACACUCAUUGACACACUCAAUCACUCUCUCACACUCACUGACACACUCUCUCACACUCAUUGACACACUCAAUCACUCUCUCACACACACUGACUCUCACUCUCUCACACUCACUGACUCUCACUCUCUCACACCCAGUGACACUCCCCCUCUCACCCCCAGGUCACGUGACGUCCCCCUCGCUCACACUCACCUCGCACACCUCCUCCUCCUCCUCC
RNAcentral lists this long non-coding RNA (1540 nucleotides) under Lepisosteus oculatus (spotted gar). RNAcentral's name for it is "lncRNA (ENSLOCG00000022945.1)". The record is from RNAcentral. Lineage: Eukaryota; Metazoa; Chordata; Actinopteri; Semionotiformes; Lepisosteidae.